GUGUCAGCCGCCGCGGUAAUACAUAGGGUGCAAGCGUUGUCCGGAAUUAUUGGGCGUAAAGAGCUCGUAGGUGGUUCGUCACGUCGGAUGUGAAACUCUGGGGCUUAACCCCAGACCUGCAUUCGAUACGGGCGAGCUUGAGUAUGGUAGGGGAGUCUGGAAUUCCUGGUGUAGCGGUGGAAUGCGCAGAUAUCAGGAGGAACACCAAUGGCGAAGGCAGGACUCUGGGCCAUUACUGACACUGAGGAGCGAAAGCGUGGGGAGCGAACAGGAUUAGAUACCCUGGUAGUCCACGCCGUAAACGGUGGGCACUAGUUGUGGGGACCUUCCACGGUCUCUGCGACGCAGCUAACGCAUUAAGUGCCCCGCCUGGGGAGUACGAUCGCAAGAUUAAAACUCAAAUGAAUUGACGGGG
Molecule: ribosomal RNA, 415 nt
Filed under: uncultured prokaryote
Description: bacterial SSU rRNA
Rfam family: Bacterial small subunit ribosomal RNA
Source: RNAcentral